UAAGACUCCUAAAUUCGACUUCGAAAUACAAGAAUAGUAACUAAGCAUAAGUCCUUAGGAAUCAAACCGGUUAUAACUCAAACACACACUAAUGGUCACCUAAUUAAUACGCGUUCAGUACAUGAACCACAGUAGCAACACCCUCUGGCGCAUUCCAAUAUGAUUCCCAAUUCUUUAGCCGUCACCUUCCUGAUCCUAAGCCAUAA
Molecule: long non-coding RNA, 206 nt
Filed under: Brassica napus (rape)
Lineage: Eukaryota; Viridiplantae; Streptophyta; Magnoliopsida; Brassicales; Brassicaceae
Description: long non-coding RNA (BNAP_LNC019550)
Source: RNAcentral